UACAGAGGUCUCAAGCGUUGUUCGGAUUCAUUGGGCGUAAAGGGUGCGUAGGUGGCCAGAUAGGUCUGUUGUGAAAACUCGAGGCUCAACCUCGAGACGCCGAUGGAAACCAUCUGGCUAGAGUCCGGAAGAGGAGAGUGGAAUUCCUGGUGUAGCGGUGAAAUGCGCAGAUAUCAGGAAGAACACCCGUGGCUAAGGCGGCUCUCUAGUACGGUACUGACGCUGAGACGCGAAAGCGUGGGGAGCGAACAGG
This 253-nucleotide ribosomal RNA is filed under the name uncultured bacterium. Its description in RNAcentral is "partial 16S ribosomal RNA". It matches the Rfam family "Bacterial small subunit ribosomal RNA", at positions 524 to 776 of the family's 1533-position model. The record is from RNAcentral.